UCGCUUCAGCAGCACAUAUACUAAAAUUGGAACGAUACAGAGAAGAUUAGCAUGGCCCCUGGGCAAGGAUGACACACAAAUUCAUGAAGCGUUCCAUAUUAAA
This is a small nuclear RNA of Delphinapterus leucas (beluga whale), 103 nucleotides long. The record is from Ensembl. NCBI's taxonomy places the organism in Eukaryota, Metazoa, Chordata, Mammalia, Artiodactyla, Monodontidae.